RNAcentral lists this ribosomal RNA (253 nucleotides) under uncultured bacterium. RNAcentral's name for it is "partial 16S ribosomal RNA". It matches the Rfam family "Bacterial small subunit ribosomal RNA", at positions 524 to 776 of the family's 1533-position model. The record is from RNAcentral.
UACAGAGGUCCCAAGCGUUGUUCGGAUUCACUGGGCGUAAAGGGUGCGUAGGUGGUUUGGUAAGUCUGGUGUGAAAUCUCCGAGCUCAACUCGGAAAUGGCAUUGGAUACUAUCAGACUUGAGGGUCGGAGGGGAGACUGGAAUUCUCGGUGUAGCAGUGAAAUGCGUAGAUAUCGAGAGGAACACCAGUGGCGAAGGCGAGUCUCUGGACGACUCCUGACACUGAGGCACGAAAGCUAGGGGAGCAAACAGG